This 253-nucleotide ribosomal RNA is filed under the name uncultured bacterium. Its description in RNAcentral is "partial 16S ribosomal RNA". It matches the Rfam family "Bacterial small subunit ribosomal RNA", at positions 524 to 776 of the family's 1533-position model. The record is from RNAcentral.
UACGGGGGGGGCAAGCGUUGUUCGGAAUUACUGGGCGUAAAGGGCUCGUAGGCGGCCAACUAAGUCAGACGUGAAGUCCCUCGGCUUAACCGGGGAACUGCGUCUGAUACUGGAUGGCUUGAGUUUGGGAGAGGGAUGCGGAAUUCCAGGUGUAGCGGUGAAAUGCGUAGAUAUCUGGAGGAACACCGGCGGCGAAGGCGGCAUCCUGGACCAACACUGACGCUGAUGAGCGAAAGCCAGGGGAGCAAACGGG